Molecule: non-coding RNA, 954 nt
Filed under: Scorpaena agassizii (longfin scorpionfish)
Lineage: Eukaryota; Metazoa; Chordata; Actinopteri; Perciformes; Scorpaenidae
Description: 12S ribosomal RNA
Rfam family: Bacterial small subunit ribosomal RNA
Source: RNAcentral
CAAAGGCUUGGUCCUGACUUUAGUAUCAGCUUUAACCAAAUUUACACAUGCAAGUAUCUGCACCCCUGUGAGAAUGCCCCAACCCCUCCCCGCCCGGGAGCAAGGAGCUGGUAUCAGGCACACUAAAUGUAAGCCCACGACACCUUGUUUAGCCACACCCCCAAGGGAAUCCAGCAGUGAUUAAUUUUAAGCUAUAAGUGAAAACUUGACUUAGUUACGGUUAAGAGAGCCGGUAAAACUCGUGCCAGCCACCGCGGUUAUACGAGAGGCCCAAGUUGAUAAUCGUCGGCGUAAAGAGUGGUUAUGAAACAUAUUUACUAAAGCCGUACUCCUUCAGGGCUGUGAUACGCUUACGAAGGUCAGAAGCUCACCCACGAAAGUGGCUUUAUUAUUUCUGAUGCCACGAAAGCUAUGGCACAAACUGGGAUUAGAUACCCCACUAUGCUUAGUCGUAAACCUCGGUAGGCCCGUCACACCCAACCUACCCGCCUGGACAUUACGAGCACUAGCUUAAAAUCCAAAGGACUUGGCGGUGCUUUAGACCCCCCUAGAGGAGCCUGUUCUGUAACUGAUAAUCCUCGUUUAACCUCACCUCUCCUUGUCAAUCCCGUCUAUAUACCGCCGUCGUAAGCUAACCCUGUGAAGGACUAGUAGUUAGCACAAUUGGUUCAACCAAAAACGUCAGGUCGAGGUGUAGCGAAUGGAGGGGGAAGAAAUGGGCUACAUUCUCUGAAGUAGAGCAUACGGAUGAUGAACUGAAAACUCAUCUGAAGGUGGAUUUAGCAGUAAGUGGGAAGUAGAGUGUCCCACUGAAGCCGGCUCUAAAGCGCGCACACACCGCCCGUCAUUCUCUCCGAAAUUACCGAUCGCAAUAACUAAAAAGUUAGAAUAGUUAGAGGGGAGGCAAGUCGUAACAUGGUAAGGGUACCGGAAGGUGCACUUGGAAGAAUUUAU